AUGAGGGCGACAGAGUGUGGGGAGGAAGCGUGGAGCGAAACUGCGAGCCGAUGGACAAGAACCCGAUAUGAGGCGUUGCCGAUCAGGGCGAGCGGGCAAGUGACUGCAAAGCGCUUGUGAUCAAGGAGCGGUGACGUAAAUCCGGCGGUUAUGCAGCGAAGGAGUGCGUUC
This 171-nucleotide non-coding RNA is filed under the name Paraburkholderia sp. BL23I1N1. The record is from RNAcentral. Lineage: Bacteria; Pseudomonadati; Pseudomonadota; Betaproteobacteria; Burkholderiales; Burkholderiaceae.